AGGUCUCGAUUGUGGCUACAGCAAUAUUUAAUUUUUGGGAAAUUUCGUGUUACCAAGGCGACGCUAUUCAGGAAAAAAGACCCCCAAUUGGCCCAUGGAUUAGGUUUGUCCUUCUCCUUGCACAUUUCUCAACCAAUCUCGAUCCUAACUGGUAGAAAUGAUGAUGAUGAUGAUGAUGACACCGUGAAGUGCCCAAUUUGGAGUAGGCGGCGCCUGGCGUCGAAAAACUGCUCCUCGGCAUCAAUUAUCAAACAUUCAUUACUGCACUCUAGGUGAUCAGAGAAGAAACGGAUACAAAACUGAUGGGUGAUGAUAAAUUGCUAAAAUAUUUUGCUCAUGACAGGAUGUGGGUGUGGCAUAGCGCCAAACUUUUGAUCUAAUGGUUCGCCACAAAACACGAAACGUUAACAACUUGAUUCCACAAAUGCAGAUCUGGAUCAUUAUUGGUACAAAUGAUGUUGAUGUCAACCAGAGCCGGCCCAAGGCAUAAGCGUACUAAGCGCUUGCUUAGGGCCCCGCGGCCACCAGGGGGCCCCCAAAAGCAAUUAACAAAAAAUUCUUAUUUUUUAUUUUUUGCAUGUACGAGUCUGACUGAUGAUUUCUAAAUGAUCAAAGAUAUAUUAUUGUACAAAAACACAAUUUUAGGUCAACAGAGUGCUGCUAGUGAUUCUUCCUGCCUCUCUUUAAAUGUAAAGCUGCCUCUGCUGCACCUGUGACGUUUGCCGCCUGCCGUGCAAUGCCAGUGCGCACUGGGCAUCAAAUUUAUUAGCCUUUAUUUAACCAGGUAAAAUCAAAAGCGCAGAUAGAGGCAAAGCAAUGUCACAAAAAAGGACAUACCCUUCAGGUGCAGAAAAAAGGAAGAAGAAGAAAGUGGAAGAGGAGAAAAAUGCCAUGAUAAAGGUAUGUUUGCAUGACUUGGUAAUAGAAAGUUUAUCAAAGAGAUUUGUAGCUGUAAUUAGCUUUAGCUAGGUGACGUUAGCUAGCUAGCGCGGUGCUAGCAAUAUGUUUUUAGCAUCAGGUUACUAGUGAGAUAUGUUGUUUGCACAAAUUGUUUGCAGCAGAGCACGGUAAUUUAUGUGAGUAAAAUGAACAUUAUUUUUUACAUCAACUCAUAAGUUAUGUGAAACUUCCCCAGGAGCAUUGUUAAAAUACUUUGGAGGCACAGAAUCAGCCCAGAGCCAGUCCACAUCCUCAGGCUCAACUGUGAGUGAUGAAUCAGGUCCAUCUCCAUCCUCUGCAGUGCUCUCUCACACACCGCCAUCCUCUGUGCCCACUGUCCCCUCCAUGUCUGAAACCACAGCUGAUUUAUCUACAACUUCCACCACAACGUCCCCUUCACACCAUGGGCCAUCAUCAGCUCCGCCAGUUAACCCAGCUGAGUGGCCUUCUUUCCUCUCAGAUUCAGACAGGACUGAGCAGGUGAUCAGAGGACACUGUCUAUUAAGG
This is a long non-coding RNA of Nerophis lumbriciformis (worm pipefish), 1446 nucleotides long. RefSeq lists it as uncharacterized. The record is from RefSeq and is a predicted model, not a curated record. NCBI's taxonomy places the organism in Eukaryota, Metazoa, Chordata, Actinopteri, Syngnathiformes, Syngnathidae.